AAAAUGAAACUGAAAAUCCUCUCCUCUCUCCCCCCAAUGCUCUUGUCUGCCUCCUCUCUACGUUGCUGCUGGACCAUCAGUGUUGGUUACCCCCGUGGCAACUCGACAGUGUGCAGCUGCCCUCCAGCUCCUCUCCAUCUCCAUCUCCCUCUACUUCUAUCACAUCUGUCUUUACUGGCCCUUCUGUCCACUCUAUAUUAUUGGUUCUCUUCACCUCUCUCCUAUAACAUCUACCACUCAUCCCUAAUAUUAUUGGUUCUCUUCACCUCUCUCCUAUAACAUCUACCACUCAUCCCUAAUAUUAUUGGUUCUCUUCACCUCUCUCCUAUAACAUCUACCACUCAUCCCUAAUAUUAUUGGUUCUCUUCACCUCUCUCCUAUAACAUCUACCACUCAUCCCUAAUAUUAUUGGUUCUCUUCACCUCUCUCCUAUCAUUUUAUACCGCACUAUCUACAUUUGGUUCUGCACAAGUUGCCCUUUGGUUCUGGUUCAAAGAUUAUCAUACCCAUUUGUUCUGGUUGCAAAGCUACAUAUUACUGGUAUCUAUUUUUGGUUGUACUGGUUGUUUGGUACUUGGUCAUUCUGUUUUAUGGUUCUGUGAGUUUCUCUGCUUGCACUUUUUCUACCUCUCCUGUCUCUCUCUCUCUCACAUUUGAUUUGAUCUUUUCAAUUGGCAAAAAUUCAAUUAUUGUAUUUUUGAAUUAUCCAUAUUGUUUCAAUUUAUUCUAUUUGGUAACAGUCAUUAUUAAAUAAAUUAUUAAGAAAAGUAUUUUUGAAUUUGUUCAUUAAAUUUAAAUUAAUUGAAAAGACUGGAAACAUACAUAACACACAUUUUGUUUAGCUUUUAUCACAAACAUUGGACUGUAAAAACUAAUUCAAAGUUAAAUCUGGUACAUUUCCAAAUAGAAGUUGCUGUCAUAAAGUGCAUCAUUGAAGAAAACUAUCUCUUGUUAGUAUAACAAUAAAUUGAAGUCCAAAUCUAUAUUUAUACAAGAAAAAAACUGUAGUUGUUGCUGGACCGUGUUGCUGUGGAGCUCUGUACCAAAAGGUUUGUUUUGACUGCAAAUAUCUUCACACAAAAGGGCCAUAAUCAGUUUUUGUUUACUUGAGUAGUACUAGUGUAAAACUAAUUACACUACAUACAUUGUGUUAUUUGUCUCUGAUUCACAUAUUUGUACCUCGUCUAUAGAUCCACCCACAUUGUUGGCAUCAACACCUUUUGUACGUGCUUUAUUGUUGGUUAAACCUUUUGUAAAGUGAAAUAAAUAAACCAACUGUAAGGAGAAACUGUAUUCUUUGCUUAUAUUAAAAUAAACCUCUGAAUAUAUUAAG
Sander lucioperca (pikeperch) is the source of this 1333-nucleotide long non-coding RNA. RefSeq lists it as uncharacterized. NCBI's taxonomy places the organism in Eukaryota, Metazoa, Chordata, Actinopteri, Perciformes, Percidae. The transcript is spliced from 2 exons. The record is from RefSeq and is a predicted model, not a curated record.